RNAcentral lists this long non-coding RNA (1166 nucleotides) under Cricetulus griseus (Chinese hamster). RNAcentral describes it as "lncRNA (ENSCGRG00015030474.1)". The record is from RNAcentral. Lineage: Eukaryota; Metazoa; Chordata; Mammalia; Rodentia; Cricetidae.
GUCUCGUUGGAGCGGUUGCCACAAGCCUGCCUUGGAGGGUGUACCGUGCUGGGGCCCCUUCCCCUCUGCUUCUCUACUGCUGCAAGGUCUUAAAGCUCAAGGGGUCUUUGGACUCGCCAUAUAGCUCAGGCUGCAACUCAAGAUCCUCCUGCUUCAGCCUCUCCAGUUACAUUUACAUCGCACAACCCGCAAAACCAGAUGCCUUCACGGAACACGAUGGAUUCCUGUGAUAGCUACUAUUACUGAUGGAUUAAAAGAUAUGUUACAAUCCAUAAUGUUUUAGAAUUGAAGCAGUUUGGUUCUAUUAGGAUGCCAUGUUGGAGGCCAGAAGCACAACUGAAGGACAGAAGGGACCAAACAAUGGACGAGGAGGAAACAGCUGGGGGUUUCACAUAUGGCACGCAAAUGACAGAAGCAGGUGGAACAGGAGUUGGUGGCAGCUAACUUAGGAGCAUUCCUUGGCCCUUGCCACACAACCUGGCAACAAAGGCAACUGUGUUGGUAACAGCAGCAUUCAGCCUGGCUGCUCUCAAGGAAGAAACUACUUCCAUCCCAAGCAGUCAGGAGCCCUGUGAUUUGGGCCACUUACGCUACAGAGCACCGGCAACAUUCUUGCUUACUGACUGGAGAAAUGUGAAAGGACACCCAUACUGUUGCAUUGGCUCUUGCACGUGGUCUGGAAGGAUGAGUUUGCUGAUAGGGGGUUCUUGAAGAAUGAAAAAGCGAAUUCCAAGUGAAGAGAAAUCUCAAGAGCUGUGGCUAAAAGCAGAAAACACAUGGAAACUUUUGGUGCGCUAUGAUUGGAGAAGAGAAAUAUGUAAUGGAGGUAAAGAGGGAAGCAAGCCAGUAUCAACAGAAGAACAAAGGAAGGGACCGCAGAGUGGAUGGUUAAAGCUGGUUCAGGAAAACAAUUCAGAAAGGGCUACUGCCUGUGACUUUGUUGUUCUUGUUCCAAGUGUUUCGUUUCUUUUGUCUUCUUGGUUUUCAGUUCUGGGGAUGGAACUCAGAGCCUUAAACAUGCCCCACCUCUGACCUACAGCCCGAGUUCCUGGUUCCAUACCGACUGAAUCGCUUCAAUUUAACUGUAAGCAAAGUCCUGUGGGACUGAGAACUGUUUCAAAGCUCAUCCUCUUCUCAUCCAGUAGUAACUGAAAAGCAAGAAAGAA